This 120-nucleotide long non-coding RNA is filed under the name Mustela putorius furo (domestic ferret). RNAcentral's name for it is "lncRNA (ENSMPUG00000031400.1)". The record is from RNAcentral. Lineage: Eukaryota; Metazoa; Chordata; Mammalia; Carnivora; Mustelidae.
UUCCAGUUUUUUUUAAUAUUUAAAACCAUGCUGCAAAGAACAUUCUUUGGUAAGAUAUUACAAAGAGGGAAUCUAAGAAGGUAGAACUAAAUUGAGAAAUAUCAAAGCAGUAUAUAUUCC